Molecule: unclassified non-coding RNA, 229 nt
Filed under: Hevea brasiliensis (rubber tree)
Lineage: Eukaryota; Viridiplantae; Streptophyta; Magnoliopsida; Malpighiales; Euphorbiaceae
Source: RNAcentral
GGGAAGUGAUACUUGUACCCGGUGCAAUGUAGAAUGAUGUCAGCUAGGACAACUCUCCCAUUUUGGAAGACCACAGAACCAUCAUCACGGACACAUUCUAUCUCAGAAUGAAGCCGCAUGUUGUCAUAUCCAGGUUGUUCUUGAUAUGUUUCAUCUGCAACAGAUCUUGAGGCGACAUGGACCUCUUUGGCAAAGUGAGCAAUUUCCCUGGAUAUAUCAACAGCACUUG